This 1077-nucleotide long non-coding RNA is filed under the name Sinocyclocheilus anshuiensis. Its description in RNAcentral is "lncRNA (ENSSANG00000021697.1)". The record is from RNAcentral. Lineage: Eukaryota; Metazoa; Chordata; Actinopteri; Cypriniformes; Cyprinidae.
GUUUUUUUUAAUUGGCUUUGAGUGGAGAUUGUUGUACGCAUCUCGUGUUGGACGCGCUCGCAAUCAAUGAAGACAAGUCAAACUCUGUGGCAUUAUGCGGUUUCAAACUGUUACGAUGGGCGUAAUUAUGUUUGGCUUUUGACGUAUUUUCAGCAUUUUAGACGGAGGACUGGUGGAUUGACUUUAUAUUCGCGUUUGAAAGUUUUGUGAAAAGCGCACCGGUGAGAGGACGCGGUCCUUCCAAACGCGUGUACUUGUUUCACAUCUGCGUGACUGCGCAACAAUGUAAUGAAGGGAGGGAGAGAGAAGAUGUCAUCAAGUUGCCAGGAAGCUACAGACUCCCCUGCAGUGCUCAAGCCAACAUCCCUCCAGGCCUGAACUGUCCAUUGAACCCCCUGUCACUUUUCAAACUCUCUCUCAGCCAAGGCAGGAAUUGUAUGUCAUUAAAUUGAAAUUUGGUGCCACAGCUGUGGUCCAGCUUCACACAGAGAGAAUGGAGUACAGUGAUUUAACAGAGAGACUUCCUUUUGCAAUAGACUUCAGGAUCAUUGCUCAAGAAGAAUUCAACUCAUGAAGUUUAAUCAGUGGUUGACACAGCAGAGCAUGAGGAGCAGACAUCCUUACAAUAAAAACUGACUUUACAAUAGUUGUAAUCCAGAGAAAUGAAAGUCUAUGGCUGGAUGAUAUAUUUGAAAUGAUUUCGCUGACCAUAUGAAAUUAAACAACAUAAUGAAUGUCAAGGGGAUUUUUAUUUGGCCAUUAAGUUUCUGUAUGGUGUCAUUAGACUUCAGUUAAUUUGCAUUUGUAAUCUUAAUUUUGUGGAAAAAUACCUUAACUUAUAGCAGUCACAUACUUAUGAACUAUUCUAUGCCAUUUUAUACACAGUAUGAGUUGUGCUCACUGAAAUUUCCAACAUGAAUUGCACUUUUAACCAGAUGAUGUGCUAAUUUAACAAAAAAAAAAUGUAUAAAAAUGGAAUGUUGGGCACUAAAUUCACUCACUGUUUUCCUUGUAUAGAGAGGAAGGAGAGGGGUUAUCAGACUAUUUAAAGCUUCAUGCUUUUUUACCAUUUUACAA